This 446-nucleotide ribosomal RNA is filed under the name uncultured bacterium. Its description in RNAcentral is "partial 16S ribosomal RNA". It matches the Rfam family "Bacterial small subunit ribosomal RNA", at positions 338 to 795 of the family's 1533-position model. The record is from RNAcentral.
CCUACGGGGGGCAGCAGUCGAGAAUCAUUCACAAUGGGGGAAACCCUGAUGGUGCGACGCCGCGUGGGGGAAUGAAGGUCUUCGGAUUGUAAACCCCUGUCAUGUGGGAGCAAAUUAAAAAGAUAGUACCCCCCGAGGAAGAGACUGCUAACUCUGUGCCAGCAGCCGCGGUAAUACAGAGGUCUCAAGCGUUGUUCGGAAUCACUGGGCGUAAAGCGUGCGUAGGCUGUUUCGUAAGUCGUGUGUGAAAGGCGCGGGCUCAACCCGCGGACGGCACAUGAUACUGCGAGACUAGAGUAAUGGAGGGGGAACCGGAAUUCUCGGUGUAGCAGUGAAAUGCGUAGAUAUCGAGAGGAACACUCGUGGCGAAGGCGGGUUACUGGACAUUAACUGACGCUGAGGCACGAAGGCCAGGGGAGCGAAAGGGAUUAGAUACCCUAGUAGUC